Molecule: transfer-messenger RNA, 402 nt
Filed under: Putridiphycobacter roseus
Lineage: Bacteria; Pseudomonadati; Bacteroidota; Flavobacteriia; Flavobacteriales; Crocinitomicaceae
Description: Standard tmRNA
Rfam family: transfer-messenger RNA
About the family: Bacterial tmRNA, also known as 10Sa RNA or SsrA, is named for its dual tRNA and mRNA-like properties. Its role is to liberate the mRNA from a stalled ribosome.
Source: Rfam by way of RNAcentral
GGGGCCGACUUGGAUUUGACAGCAUCUGAUUUGGAAUGUAAGCAUGCCGAGUAACGUACACACACUCGUAAAUCAGAGGUACAUACAGAAUAAUUGACAACAAUAAUUCUUACGCGUUAGCUGCGUAAUUAAACCAAGUUUAAUUACCUUAAUUCCCCCCAAGUAUAGUAAGGGGAACUGACUGUCCUCGAGGACGCCCGCCUAAAGUGGACUCGAUCAAGGGCAUUAAAAUUUUGGGAUAGUUCAAUGGGAGUCUCGACUAUUGGAUAAAAUUAAGAGAAGUAGGGUAAAGGUAGGGUGUUUGUGUCCAGUCUUUAUCUGAAAUUAAAUCACAGAAUAAGCACGUAGAAAUCAUUUUAACUCUUUGUUUGGACGCGGGUUCGAUACCCGCCGGCUCCACAA